AGCAAGGAGCCCAAGCUAGUGUGUAAUAUUGAGCAGUUCUGUAUUGAGGUUCACUUCGACACAUGGAUAUGCGAAUUGCUUAUGUACCCCCCUGCUCCCCACUUAUAUUCUGGUUCCAUAGACUUCAAUAAUUCACUUAGUCAGCCCCACCACAUUUCAGUUCUAUAGUUCUAUAACAGGUUCACAAUCUUUGACUUGCAUUGUUCUUCUCCUGUCCUAUUUUGUCACCUCCUUCCUUCAUAGGGUGUUGCACGGCAGUCUCAUCUCAUGCAACAUCCAUAUUUAAUGUUACUUUGUAUUAGAUAUGUAAUGAUUUAUUUUCCUCAUUCUGUUUUCAGUUAUCACGUUGUCUGUCUCCCGUGUCUAGAAAUUCUGUUCUUUUCGACUGAUGGACUUUAAUCAAUUACUAAAUUAAUAAAAUGGUAUGAAAUCACAGAGGAGGUUCCAAAACUCCACUGUGACACAGUAAAACUAAAGGGGAUGGAGAUGCAUGAUCUAAGAGCCGAACAGGACACACACCCACACGCACACAGGUUCACCUUUGAACACUGAUGCUAGUCUUCUUGAGAGGGGUUGGACUAUCUCCACGCUGGAUUAUAUGUGAGUAUAUAGUAUUUAUUGCACCAACCACCGCCCACCCCAUCCCCAUUCUUAGUGCGUAUAUGCUGUAGUGAAGUAAAAAGUAGUCCAACAAAAACAUACUUGAGUAAGAGUGAAAAGUACUGUCAUGGUCCUGCCGGUCCAGCCCUAGCUGUGCGGGUCCCCGCACACCUGCACUGAUUAGGAGGCACACACCUGCGCCUCAUCGGCAGUGGUUAACCCCUGUAUUUAUAGGACCCAGUGGACUAUAUCUUAUAGUCUUUAUAGUCCCUAUCUUUGCCAGAUCGUCGCCACCCCUGGCUCGUUCCCGCACCUCCUAUUCCUGACGCCAACCUCCCGUGUACCAACCAACGCCUGUUUCCUGACUAACCCCUCGUGCAUUUGGGUCCGCCUUCGAGUCCUGGUUAUGACAAGAACUUGGGGAAAUAAUUACUGAAUAAAUGUGAUCAGUAGCACCUAACCGACGGAAGGAGCUGGAAAAGCUGGUGGCCAGGAUGUGGAGGGUCUCUGUUCAACUUGAAGGUCUCGACGGUUGGCACAAGACAGUUAGACAUCGUGAGGAACAGAUGUGGUGAAGGAUGCCUCCUGAAGUCCACAAUCAUUUGUACAGUCUUUGGUGGUCCAGCACAAGGGGCUGAAAGGACUUCAUGACAACAAAUGUCGUGGCAACAGGGCUGUAGUCAUAAAGACCUGAGACAGAUGCUUUUUGGGGACAGGUAUGAAGCAGGCCAAUACCUGGAACAAGCGAGGGGUAUAGGAUCUGAGAGGCCGUGGGGUACAGAACCUACAGUCGCUUGUUUUUGCUUGAUUUGCUUUGCUUGCUUGUUUUUGUUUUCUUCUCCCAGGACCAGUAAAUCAUGGCCUUUAUAUCCAUGCAUCCAUCCAUUUUUUUUCCUCAGAUCCUCAACUUUGUUGUGCCCUAGCAGCUGUUUGUUCAGGUUAUUCAGGUGGUCUGUAACAUCCACCAUAAAUGCAAGGUCCUGCAUCCAUCCUACGGAAUGAAAUACUAACACUUCUCUUCCAUGAACUGUCUAAAUUCUCGUAAAUCAAAGCAACGCUGCAGCACAGCACCUCGGCUUAACCACCUCAGCUCAAUGUGUUAUGGCAGGCCAUAUAUGUGGUCUCUCUCUCUCUCUCUUUCUCUCUCUCGAAGGCUGUCAAACUGACAGUGAUUCACGUUUUUACCCCUUUUCAUGACCACCUCCAUGAAGUUAUCCUCUUGUAACACCAAGCCUCCUGGUGCAAAAUACAGUGAAAAGUCCCCAAAAAAAUCACAUCCUCUAUUUGUAGAUUGCACUUACCCAUGUAACUUACUUACUUAUA
Molecule: long non-coding RNA, 1923 nt
Organism: Syngnathoides biaculeatus (alligator pipefish)
Lineage: Eukaryota; Metazoa; Chordata; Actinopteri; Syngnathiformes; Syngnathidae
Exons: 5
Source: RefSeq, a predicted model, not a curated record